This 423-nucleotide ribosomal RNA is filed under the name uncultured bacterium. RNAcentral's name for it is "bacterial SSU rRNA". It matches the Rfam family "Bacterial small subunit ribosomal RNA", at positions 954 to 1372 of the family's 1533-position model. The record is from RNAcentral.
GCAUAACGCGAAGAACCUUACCAGGUCUUGACAUCCCUCUGACGGAUCCUUAACCGGAUCUUCUCUUCGGAGCAGAGGUGACAGGUGGUGCAUGGUUGUCGUCAGCUCGUGUCGUGAGAUGUUGGGUUAAGUCCCGCAACGAGCGCAACCCUUAUCUUUAGUAGCCAGCAGUUCGGCUGGGCACUCUAGAGAGACUGCCAGGGAUAACCUGGAGGAAGGUGGGGAUGACGUCAAAUCAUCAUGCCCCUUAUGAUCUGGGCUACACACGUGCUACAAUGGUGAUAACAAAGUGAAGCAGCCUCGUGAGAGUGAGCAAAUCACAAAAAAGUCAUCUCAGUUCGGAUUGUAGUCUGCAACUCGACUACAUGAAGCUGGAAUCGCUAGUAACGUUACCGCGAAUCAGAAUGUCGCGGUGAAUACGUU